GGGGUUGUGGCUCAGUGGUAGAGCACUUGCCUUGCAUGCUUGGCACUGGGUUCCAUCCUCCUCAGCACCA
RNAcentral lists this transfer RNA (70 nucleotides) under Urocitellus parryii (Arctic ground squirrel). RNAcentral describes it as "Spermophilus parryii (Arctic ground squirrel) tRNA". It matches the Rfam family "tRNA". Rfam says of the family: Transfer RNA (tRNA) molecules are approximately 80 nucleotides in length. Their secondary structure includes four short double-helical elements and three loops (D, anti-codon, and T loops). Further hydrogen bonds mediate the characteristic L-shaped molecular structure. tRNAs have two regions of fundamental functional importance: the anti-codon, which is responsible for specific mRNA codon recognition, and the 3' end, to which the tRNAs corresponding amino acid is attached (by aminoacyl-tRNA synthetases). tRNAs cope with the degeneracy of the genetic code in two manners: having more than one tRNA (with a specific anti-codon) for a particular amino acid; and 'wobble' base-pairing, i.e. permitting non-standard base-pairing at the 3rd anti-codon position. RNAcentral also lists the same sequence under 1 other name. Lineage: Eukaryota; Metazoa; Chordata; Mammalia; Rodentia; Sciuridae. The record is from Rfam by way of RNAcentral.